UGGCGGACGGGUGAGGAAUACAUCGGAAUCUACUCUGUCGUGGGGGAUAACGUAGGGAAACUUACGCUAAUACCGCAUACGACCUACGGGUGAAAGCAGGGGAUCUUCGGACCUUGCGCGAUUGAAUGAGCCGAUGUCGGAUUAGCUAGUUGGCGGGGUAAAGGCCCACCAAGGCGACGAUCCGUAGCUGGUCUGAGAGGAUGAUCAGCCACACUGGAACUGAGACACGGUCCAGACUCCUACGGGAGGCAGCAGAU
RNAcentral lists this ribosomal RNA (257 nucleotides) under uncultured Stenotrophomonas sp. RNAcentral's name for it is "partial 16S ribosomal RNA". It matches the Rfam family "Bacterial small subunit ribosomal RNA", at positions 96 to 354 of the family's 1533-position model. The record is from RNAcentral. Lineage: Bacteria; Pseudomonadati; Pseudomonadota; Gammaproteobacteria; Lysobacterales; Lysobacteraceae.